ACUCCUACGGGAGGCAGCAGUUAGGAAUAUUCGGCAAUGGGGGAAGCCCAUCGACCGAGCGACACUGCGUGAAGGAGGAAGGCCUUAGGGAGCUUGGUAAACUUUCUGAACGAGAGACGAUAAUGACGGUAUCUCGGUAAUAGCACCGGCUAACUCCGUGCCAGCAGCUGCGGUAAUACGGAGGGUGCGAGCGUUAAUCGGAUUUAUUGGGCGUAAAGGGCGCGUAGGCGGAUAAGAAAGUCGUGCGUGAAAUUUCGCAGCUCAACUGCGAAGCUGCGUGUGAAACUUCUUAUCUUGAGGGCAGGCGGAGAAAACAGAAUUCCAGGUGUAGCGGUGGAAUGCGUAGAUAUCUGGAGGAAUACCCGUGGUGAAGACGGUUUUCUAGCUUGUUCCUGACGCUGAGGCGCGAAAGCAAGGGGAGCGAACAGGAUUAGAUACCCUGGUAGGUCAGU
Molecule: ribosomal RNA, 452 nt
Filed under: uncultured bacterium
Lineage: Bacteria
Description: bacterial SSU rRNA
Rfam family: Bacterial small subunit ribosomal RNA
Source: RNAcentral